UCAACAUGCUCAGCCUAGUGGUUCUCCUAAGGACAGUUCCGUCUUAUCUUUCUUCUUCUCUUUCAUAAAAGAUUUCUUCUUGGACCCCUAGCCUCAGCUCCAUCAAGUUCUUUCCUGCAGCUUGAAGACCCCACGUUAUCAACCCAGGAUUACCUACUUCUCUGUUGCCUGCAGUGCAAAGUCAAGAGUGCAGCCCUUCCAGGGGGAGAACCACCAGCGGCUUCUGAGAUCCAUGCCAUGUUGGAACUUAGGACCCUGGGAAACCAAGCAAGCAGCUCCCCUCCCUGGUAAGUGGCUGCAGUGUGGCAGACUGUGGCCCUUCCAGGGGGAGAACCAUCAGCGGCUCCUGAGAUGCACAUCAUGUUGAAACCUAGGACCCUGGGAAACCAAAAAAGCAGCUUCCCUUCCUGGUAAGCGGCGGUGGUGUGGCCUGCUGUGGCCCUUCCAGGGAGAGAAUCACCAGUGUCCCCUGAGAUCCACACCAUGUUAGAACUUACAGAGCUGGGGAACCAAGCAACCAGCCUGCCUCCCUGCUAAGCAAUUGUAAACCUACUGGUGCACACCCUAGAGUCAAACAUCCCUCUUCUCCUGUCCCCCCUGUUAGCAAAUGGGAACCAGAGAUCUGAGCAUCUCCUGAGAGGUUGACCAUAGCAAAUAAGGGGGAUUUCCUUCUACCAUCUCUUUGAAGGCAAAUAUUUUUAUUACUGUUUUGCUCUAUUCUGAUUAAUGGUACUGCUCUAUUUAAUAUUCUGUUUUGAUAAAUUCUAUAAUAGUCUGUAUUUCAUUUCAUUUUGAUAUACGUGAUUGAAAGAAUAACUAUUGUAAAGAUAACGAAAUAUAUUGUGAUACCUAUUACUGUUAUCCCAGUAACCUGCUGUGAAGUUCUGUACCAAUUUCACUAUACGAUCUUAGUUGACUUUCUUCUGUCUUGUUCUGUUGUAUUUUACUACUUUCAAAAUAAAAUUUUAAAAAAGAA
Cavia porcellus (domestic guinea pig) is the source of this 976-nucleotide long non-coding RNA. RefSeq lists it as uncharacterized. NCBI's taxonomy places the organism in Eukaryota, Metazoa, Chordata, Mammalia, Rodentia, Caviidae. The record is from RefSeq and is a predicted model, not a curated record. The transcript is spliced from 2 exons.